Molecule: ribosomal RNA, 1433 nt
Filed under: uncultured organism
Description: 16S ribosomal RNA
Rfam family: Bacterial small subunit ribosomal RNA
Source: RNAcentral
GCUUAACACAUGCAAGUCGAACGGAAAGGCCCUGCUUUUGUGGGGUGCUCGAGUGGCGAACGGGUGAGUAACACGUGAGUAACCUGCCCUUGACUUUGGGAUAACUUCAGGAAACUGGGGCUAAUACCGGAUAGGAGCUCCUGCUGCAUGGUGGGGGUUGGAAAGUUUCGGCGGUUGGGGAUGGACUCGCGGCUUAUCAGCUUGUUGGUGGGGUAGUGGCUUACCAAGGCUUUGACGGGUAGCCGGCCUGAGAGGGUGACCGGCCACAUUGGGACUGAGAUACGGCCCAGACUCCUACGGGAGGCAGCAGUGGGGAAUAUUGCACAAUGGGCGGAAGCCUGAUGCAGCAACGCCGCGUGCGGGAUGACGGCCUUCGGGUUGUAAACCGCUUUCGCCUGUGACGAAGCGUGAGUGACGGUAAUGGGUAAAGAAGCACUGGCUAACUACGUGCCAGCAGCCGCGGUGAUACGUAGGGUGCGAGCGUUGUCCGGAUUUAUUGGGCGUAAAGGGCUCGUAGGUGGUUGAUCGCGUCGGAAGUGUAAUCUUGGGGCUUAACCCUGAGCGUGCUUUCGAUACGGGUUGACUUGAGGAAGGUAGGGGAGAAUGGAAUUCCUGGUGGAGCGGUGGAAUGCGCAGAUAUCAGGAGGAACACCAGUGGCGAAGGCGGUUCUCUGGGCCUUUCCUGACGCUGAGGAGCGAAAGCGUGGGGAGCGAACAGGCUUAGAUACCCUGGUAGUCCACGCUGUAAACGGUGGGUACUAGGUGUGGGGUCCAUUCCACGGGUUCCGUGCCGUAGCUAACGCUUUAAGUACCCCGCCUGGGGAGUACGGCCGCAAGGCUAAAACUCAAAGGAAUUGACGGGGCCCCGCACAAGCGGCGGAGCAUGCGGAUUAAUUCGAUGCAACGCGUAGAACCUUACCUGGGUUUGACAUGGAUCGGGAGUGCUCAGAGAUGGGUGUGCCUCUUUUGGGGUCGGUUCACAGGUGGUGCAUGGCUGUCGUCAGCUCGUGUCGUGAGAUGUUGGGUUAAGUCCCGCAACGAGCGCAACCCUUGUUCACUGUUGCCAGCACGUUAUGGUGGGGACUCAGUGGAGACCGCCGGGGUCAACUCGGAGGAAGGUGGGGAUGACGUCAAGUCAUCAUGCCCCUUAUGUCCAGGGCUUCACGCAUGCUACAAUGGCUGGUACAGAGAGUGGCGAGCCUGUGAGGGUGAGCGAAUCUCGGAAAGCCGGUCUCAGUUCGGAUUGGGGUCUGCAACUCGACCUCAUGAAGUCGGAGUCGCUAGUAAUCGCAGAUCAGCAACGCUGCGGUGAAUACGUUCCCGGGGCUUGUACACACCGCCCGUCAAGUCAUGAAAGUUGGUAACACCCGAAGCCGGUGGCUUAACCGUUGUGGGGGAGCCGUCGAAGGUGGGACUGGUGAUUAGGACUAAGU